UUGUAAUUUGUAGAGGAUGCUUUUGAUGCGGUGCCUUCCGAGUUCCCUGGAACGGGACGCCAUAGAGGGUGAGAGCCCCGUCUGGUCGGAUGCCAAAUCUCUGUAAAGCUCCUUCGACGAGUCGAGUAGUUUGGGAAUGCUGCUCUAAAUGGGAGGUAUAUGUCUUCUAAAGCUAAAUAUUGGCCAGAGACCGAUAGCGCACAAGUAGAGUGAUCGAAAGAUGAAAAGCACUUUGAAAAGAGGGUUAAAUAGUACGUGAAAUUGUUGAAAGGGAAGCGCCUAUGACCAGACUUGGGCCCGGUGAAUCAUCCAGCGUUCUCGCUGGUGCACUUUGCCGGGCACAGGCCAGCAUCAGUUUGUCUUGGGGGAAAAAGGCUUUGGGAACGUGGCUCCCUCGGGAGUGUUAUAGACCAUUGCAUAAUACCCUGGGACGGACUGAGGUUCGCGCAUCUGCAAGGAUGCUGGCGUAAUGGUCAUCAGCGACCCGUCUUGAAACACGGACCAAGGAGUCGUCUUCGUAUGCGAGUGUUCGGGUGUAAAACCCCUACGCGUAAUGAAAGUGAACGCAGGUGAGAGCUUCGGCGCAUCAUCGACCGAUCCUGAUGUUCUCGGAUGGAUUUGAGUAAGAGCAUACGGGGCCGGACCCGAAAGAAGGUGAACUAUUCCUGUAUAGGGUGAAGCCAGAGGAAACUCUGGUGGAGGCUCGCAGCGGUUCUGA
This 718-nucleotide ribosomal RNA is filed under the name Simplicillium sp. TF3MSW. RNAcentral's name for it is "LSU rRNA". It matches the Rfam family "Eukaryotic large subunit ribosomal RNA", at positions 143 to 889 of the family's 3401-position model. The record is from RNAcentral. Lineage: Eukaryota; Fungi; Ascomycota; Sordariomycetes; Hypocreales; Cordycipitaceae.